AGUUAACCAACUAAAAUCUAAUAGACUGCCUAGAGCAAUUAAUAUCCUGUAGUUCUGACCUAAAUAGACUAACCAAAAGAGCAAGCCUAAGAUAUAAGACAACCACCAAGAUUCCUGAACUACGCUAACCUCCCAGUAUCAAUUACACAUCCAUUUCCACUUCUAAUCUCUUGAGGGUGAAUCUGGAGGGAGGUCCUUUCGAAUAUUGGCGAGCAUUGAACUUCUCAAUUGCAAGUCCCUAGCUUCUAGCUACUGAAUUGGUAGAUGCUGGUGUAACUGAUGCUGCUGUUUCUGAGAAUGAAUCUGGAGCUGCUGUAAUUGUUGACCAGUUAACAUUGUGUGCAUAGCACAAUAAUUGGGAUAAUACCGCUGGUUGGAUCCAACGGAUGCAGAGCCAGGAAAAGUGAUGCAACACCAGUAGAAAUAUUGAAGAGAGAAUGAGAAAACCAAUUAACAGGAAGAAGAAAUUAGGGAAAGGGAUGACAGAAGGGGAAGCAGUAAGAAGGAAAAGAAUAAUGGAAAGGAGAGGAGAAAUUCGCCACAAGCCACCAACAAUUUUAUUCUAUCAUCAACUAAUGAAAUUACAUGACAAAUUAAGUUUAAAUAGUCAAAACAAAACCCUACCUAGAAUGGGUUUGGACCAAUACAAGUCCAAUUACAUAAAUAAAAAUCUCAAAACAUAAAUAAAGUCCAACUAAAAAUAAAUAUAAAGUAGAUGUCCUCAUCAACUCUCCCGGGGUGGGAGAAAAACUCGAUCCUGUCGAGUAGAUAGAUCACAAAAGCUGCAGUUAAGCUAAUACUCCAAAUGCUUCAAGUCAUGCCACGGUGGACGAUUUUUCUGAGGAGCCAAGUAUCGAAACUCCAUGAUUGACAGUAAUGAAAACUGUAGCUAAUUCCUAAGAAUAUGAUCUGACAAAGGGGGAUGGUCUUUCCUGUUGACCAAAUAUUGAUAUUGAAUUCUAAGUAACCAAUACUCAUGCACCUCAUUUCCAAAAUUUUCACAUGAUUGUACAUAAUGAAGAGUACAAGAAGCACGCCGAUCUACCCAACAAACAAGGGAGUACCAAUUCUCUCCAUCAAAUGUUAACACAACAUGUUUAUCUAAAAUAGCAUCAAUUUUAUUUUCGUGUGCUAUGAUGAGUGUUAUUGGAGUAGAAAUGGUAGCCACAUGUGAAAGUAGAAAAGGAUCUUCAAAACAAUUAAAACGACCUUUGUAAGUAACUAAGUCAUCAACAGCUAAAAUAGAGUGGUGGCCAAAAUGUGAUAAAAGAUCAAUGACACAUAUAUUUGUACCAACAUGCUUUAAAAUUUUAUAAGGGCCAGCACUACGGGCUUGUAGUAUAACAUAAUCCUCAAUAUUAAAUUCAAAAUAUUGUUUAUGCUAAUUAGCUCGAAAUUUAUAUAAUGCAUUAUUUGCAUCAAGUUGUUUAUUAAUCUCAGUAUGCAAGUCAUGAAGAUGCUAUACAAAUGCUCCAGCUGAAAACGACACACUAACAUGUGGGGACACGGGAAUAAGAUGUGACGGUCACCUAGACUUAUAACUAUGAACAACUUCAAAUUGAUUUAGACCUAGAGACCGAUUUACAGAAUUAUUAUAUGCAAUUUGAAUAGUUGGGAGGAUCAAUGCCCAAUUCCCAAGAUUUUUCUGGACUAGAGACUUGAUAAAAUUAUUAGGACUUUGGUUAACGGCUUCAUUUUGACCAUCAGUCUGAGGUUGGUCUGCAGUGAAGAAUUUCGAUUUAGUGUUAACCAUGGGCGACUGAGUUUUCCACAAGUGACUAGUGAAGUCAUGGGAUAUAAUGCUUAGAGUCUCAGAAAGAGUCUGAAUGCCACCUAAGGAGGUGUCCUCACCAUCAUCAUCAAAAUCUUCAAGUUUAGAUUCAUAUGCUAGAUCUUCUAACGACUCUUCUAUUUCAUUCAUUCGUUCUUCUAUAACUAAGGUUCGGUUAGGACAUUUGGAAGAGAUGUGGCUAAAGUUCUUACAACUGAUGCCUAGCAAGUGCUAAGAAAUUCUUAGAGUUUUAAAAAUUUUACCUUUAUUUUCCAAGAUUGGAGGAACAUUAGACGGGAGGUCCUAGAAGUAACUUAAUAGGAGGAAGUGGAGCCAAUGAAACAAAAGAAUGGUUGUCAAUACACAUUCUAUAUGAAGAAGGGGGCCUUGGACUAUCACGACCUUUACACUUAUUUUUUCAAAUGGGAGAACACUAGACGGAGAAGAUUCUAUGACAGACUCAUGUUGAGGUGCUAAUGAGAUGGGUGAACGAUGAUGACUACGCUUUUCAUACGAAGCACUAAUAAGUAACUCGUAAUCUCAAGCUAAAGAGUAAGCGUAAUCAAGAAUAGUGACACCUCGAAAGAAAAGCUCAUGCCUAAAUUCAUCUCUUAGACCUUGUAUAAACCUAUUCAAAAUUGGGGCCUCAUCCUCAACAACAUGACAUUUCAAUUGAAAUUCCAUAAAUUCAGCAAUGUACUCAGUUACUUGCCGAUUUCCUUGUCUAAGGGUGUUCCAUUGGGUAACAAUUUCAUGGUCUAAGUAACCAUCAAACGUAGGAAUAUCUUAUUUAAUGUCUCUAAAGAAACGCUCCUUAUGACGAGGAAGAGAAUGAGUACCAUGAUGAUCAUGGCCUCGUUCUCGCUCACAAACGUGAUCCCUAACCCUACGAUCGUGUUGAAAAUAUUUUUGGUCACCUUGUUGACGACGAUAUCGUCUAUUGUGAGACACUUCAGAAUUAUUAACAUCAAUCGAACGAGGGAUUUGCUUAAAGUUGUUCAGCCUAGCAAAGAUGGCUUACUCUGUUCAAGAAUAGCAGUCAUCUGGGUUUGGAUAGCUGCUAUUUGUCGAGUGAGUUCAUCAAAUUGUGAAGGGUCCAUGUUUAGGUACUAAAUGACAAGACGACUAGUCGACCACCAUGCAUGCACUGUAUUAGCAGCUAAAUGACGUGUAAUAGUGAGAUCAAUGAACAAUAAAUGCAAGCAAUGAAAAAUAACAAUUUGAGCAUUUUGAUUUUUUUAAAUCUCUUUUUAUUUUAUUUUUUUUUUUUUAUGGGGAUUAAGCAAAUUCAAAUGUUGCAAGCUAAUACUAUUGAUACAUGUAAAAUAGCAAAGCAAGGGGCCAAACACUUGUCAAAUUCUCCAAUCGAGUUGAUAAGUGGGGAACAAUGGGAAGUCAACUUGUUCAAUUAUUUGACCAAGUGGGGUAUUAGGCUAAUGAAAUCAAAGUAACAACACCACAAAGAUUUAAAUGAUGCGAUUUUAAAAUGAAGCAAUAGUAUAAACCAACAAUAAAUAAAGAUCAAGGACUCCCUGUUGUCGGGUUGCGGAGGCGGUGCCCAAGAAAGCUUGAUGUUGUUGGUGAUGUAUUCACAGGAUCUCAGUCCAACUGAUGGUGGUGCAAUCUAUAUUCCUGUUCUAAUUCACAUAUAGGAGGCUUCAGUAAACAAUUCGGUCACUGGCUUUGCGACUCGUCCUGUUUCCAAAAUAUCAGUCUCUGUGGACGAUUACAAUUUCAAUACACAGCCAAUACAGUAUAUUUGGGGACAUACUGUAAAGUUGGUCUAUGUGCCUGCAGGUUGAUGUAUUGAAGUAUGUGGGUUGCAGGUUUUGUGAAAUAUGUAAUGGAGUGGUGCCGAUUGUGUGAGAUGCCGACAAAUUGAGGGUUUCCGGUGGUAAAUCACGGCGGGUAUUGAGCGGUGGUGGCGACGCGACUUGCAAGUCGGGCGACGGUGACGGCGGGCUCUGAUGUGAUGGUGGAGGUGACUGACGUGGCAGUGGGAUGAUCGAUGGGGAAGAUGGAGCAGUCGCGGGGGGAGAUUGUGGUUUACCGGCUGUCGUACAGGUGGCGAUGGUGAUAGGUAUAGUAGAGGAGUUAGCAAAGAUGAAGACGAGUAGCUUGGGCUGCAAUGGAUAGGUCAGUACUGGGGUCUCGGGGAUUUGAGGGCUGUCGACGCUGGCGGUGGAGCGAUGGUGUCACCGGCAGUAGUCGUGGAUAGAUGGGUCGCCUGCGUAGAGGACCAUAUUCUGGAAGCCGUGUGGAAGUUGGGUGUGGACUUGAUCGAGGUGGGUGCUAUUUAUGUGUUAAAUGGUUUGAGAUAUAUGCGCUGAACAUGGGAUGUGUGCUGAAUGUGGAUAACAGGCUACUGGACUCGGCUAUAGGUGAUUAGAGGAUUGAAAGUAGGCUGUGUUUGUGGAAAAUGGCUUUUGGGCGGCUAUAUAGAAGUUUGGGCUGGCAAUAGUUGGUCCGUGAGGGUUUGGAAGGUAAAUAAGUUAAAAGGACAGCAAAAUUAGGUUAAAAUGACUAGCAC
Molecule: long non-coding RNA, 4301 nt
Filed under: Olea europaea subsp. europaea
Lineage: Eukaryota; Viridiplantae; Streptophyta; Magnoliopsida; Lamiales; Oleaceae
Source: RNAcentral